Molecule: ribosomal RNA, 393 nt
Filed under: uncultured bacterium
Lineage: Bacteria
Description: bacterial SSU rRNA
Rfam family: Bacterial small subunit ribosomal RNA
Source: RNAcentral
GAUGAACGCUAGCUACAGGCUUAACACAUGCAAGUCGAGGGGCAGCGCAGUGUAGCAAUACAUGGGCGGCGACCGGCGCACGGGUGCGUAACGCGUAUCCAACCUUCCCGUUACUCAGGGAUAGCCUUCCGAAAGGGAGAUUAAAUACCUGAUGGUGUUCAAAUUCCGCAUGUUAUUUGAACUAAAGAUUUAUCGGCAACGGAUGGGGAUGCGUGACAUUAGGUAGAUGGCGGGGUAACGGCCACCAUGCCUACGAUGUCUAGGGGUUCUGAGAGGAAGGUCCCCCANACUGGAACUGAGACACGGUCCAGACUCCUACGGGAGCAGCAGUGAGGAAUAUUGGUCAAUGGUCGGAAGACUGAACCAGCCAAGUAGCGUGAAGGAUGAAGGUUC